RNAcentral lists this long non-coding RNA (233 nucleotides) under Daucus carota (carrot). RNAcentral's name for it is "long non-coding RNA (DCAR_LNC007208)". Lineage: Eukaryota; Viridiplantae; Streptophyta; Magnoliopsida; Apiales; Apiaceae. The record is from RNAcentral.
GAAGGACAAGGAGACCGCCGCUCAGACCUGUCUAGCUAUGGGAAAAAGAAUUAUCACCAACGCAAUGGAGUGUGAUAUAUUCUUAAUGCUGGAAACCCGGUUGGAAUUGAUUUAUAAUUUUCAAAGCAAAAGGGAUCCGGUUCUAGACCCACAGUAGACCGAAUCUUAGUCCUGUCUGACUAUGAGGGAAAAGAAUUAUCACCAACACAAUGGAAAGUGAUAUAAUCUUAAAG